GAUGAAGAACGUAGCGAAAUGCGAUACGUAAUGUGAAUUGCAAAUUCAGUGAAUCAUCGAGUCUUUGAACGCACAUUGCGCCCCCUGGUAUUCCGGGGGGCAUGCCUGUCCGAGCGUCAUUGCUGCCCUCAAGCACGGCUUGUGUGUUGGGCCCCGUCCUCCGAUCCCGGGGGACGGGCCCGAAAGGCAGCGGCGGCACCGCGUCCGGUCCUCGAGCGUAUGGGGCUUUGUCACCCGCUCUGUAGGCCCGGCCGGCGCUUGCCGAUCAACCCAAAUUUUUAUCCAGGUUGACCUCGGAUCAGGUAGGGAUACCCGCUGAACUUAAGCAUAUCAAUAACGGAGGA
This 344-nucleotide unclassified non-coding RNA is filed under the name soil metagenome. RNAcentral describes it as "partial contains 5.8S ribosomal RNA, internal transcribed spacer 2, and large subunit ribosomal RNA". The stretch from base 1 to 119 matches the Rfam family "5.8S ribosomal RNA", at positions 35 to 154 of the family's 154-position model. The record is from RNAcentral.